CCUGAACGCUGGCGGCGUGGCUAAGACAUGCAAGUCGUACGGGGUGGCAGCAAUGCCAUCCAGUGGCGGACGGGUGAGUAAAGAAUCGCUAACGUGCCCCGGACUCCGGGAUAGCCGGCCGAAAGGCCGGGUAAUACCGGACGACAUCGCCGCCCCGCAUGGGGCGGCGCUCGAAGGGAAACCGGUCUGGGAGCGGGCGAUUUCGUAUCAGGUAGUUGGUGGGGUAACGGCCCACCAAGCCGACGACGCGAGCUGGUCUGAGAGGACGGCCAGCCACAUUGGGACUGAGACACUGCCCAGACUCCUACGGGGGGCUGCAGUAACGAAUCUUCCGCAAUGCACGCAAGUGUGACGGAGCGACGCCGCGUGGAGG
Molecule: ribosomal RNA, 373 nt
Filed under: uncultured bacterium
Lineage: Bacteria
Description: bacterial SSU rRNA
Rfam family: Bacterial small subunit ribosomal RNA
Source: RNAcentral